UAUUGCCUGCCCGAUGCGUGAAUGAUUUUAAAAUAACCCUACAACACUUAAAUCGGGAGCUUUACUCUUUGAGUGGUGUGCAGACCUCCCGUUCCCCGGAAGAAGGGAGCCUGAAGCUCAAAGGAGGGCACCCACCUGUUCUCUUCAGUAGGCAGGUUAUUAUUUAAAUCAUACGGUCGGGCGGGUCUUUU
Molecule: non-coding RNA, 191 nt
Filed under: Oscillospiraceae bacterium
Lineage: Bacteria; Bacillati; Bacillota; Clostridia; Eubacteriales; Oscillospiraceae
Description: 6S RNA
Rfam family: 6S / SsrS RNA
About the family: E. coli 6S RNA was the first non coding RNA to be sequenced, but its function was unknown until recently. It consists of 184 nucleotides that fold into an extended hairpin structure with a large single-stranded internal bulge.
Source: RNAcentral